GACGAUAAGGUUCAUCCUUGCGCUUAUUUUUCUCAUCGCCUGUCGCCAUCGGAACGCAACUAUGAUGUGGGUAACCGCGAACUGCUCGCCAUCCGCUUAGCCCUAGGCGAAUGGCGACAGUGGUUGGAGGGGCCGACCGUUCCUUUUGUCGUUUGGACUGACCAUAAGAACCUUGAGUACAUCCGUUCUGCCAAACGACUUAAUGCACGUCAAGCUCGUUGGGCGUUGUUUUUCGCUCGUUUCGAGUUUGUGAUUUCUUAUCGCCCGGGUAAUAAGAACACCAAGCCUGAUGCCUUAUCCCGUCUCUUUAGUUCUUCUGUGGCUUCUACUGAUCCCGAGGGGAUUCUUCCUUAUGGGCGUGUUGUCGGGUUGACAGUCUGGGGAAUUGAGAGACAGGUUAAGCAAGCACUCACUCACACUGCGUCGCCGCGCGCUUGUCCUAGUAACCUUCUUUUCGUUCCUGUUUCUACUCGUCUGGCUGUUCUUCAGUGGGCUCACUCUGCCAAGUUAGCUGGCCAUCCCGGCGUUCGAGGUACUCUUGCUUCUAUUCGCCAGCGCUUUUGGUGGCCUACUCAGGAGCGUGACACGCGCCGUUUCGUGGCUGCUUGUUCGGACUGCGCGCAGACUAAGUCAGGUAACUCUCCUCCUGCCGGUCGUCUCAGACCGCUUCCCAUUCCUUCUCGACCAUGGUCUCACAUCGCCUUAGACUUCAUUACCGGUCUGCCUUCGUCUGCGGGGAAGACUGUGAUUCUUACGGUUGUCGAUAGGUUCUCUAAGGCGGCACAUUUCAUUCCCCUCGCUAAGCUUCCUUCCGCUAAGGAGACGGCACAAAUCAUCAUCGAGAAUGUGUUCAGAAUUCAUGGCCUCCCGUUAGACGCCGUUUCAGACAGAGGUCCGCAAUUCACGUCACAGUUUUGGAGGGAGUUCUGUCGUUUGAUUGGUGCUUCCGUCAGUCUCUCUUCCGGUUUUCAUCCCCAGUCUAACGGUCAAGCAGAAAGGGCCAAUCAGACGAUUGGUCGCAUACUACGCAGCCUUUCUUUUAGAAACCCUGCGUCUUGGGCAGAACAGCUCCCCUGGGCAGAAUACGCUCACAACUCGCUUCCUUCGUCUGCUACCGGGCUAUCUCCGUUUCAGAGUAGUCUGGGUUACCAGCCUCCUCUGUUCUCGUCCCAGCUCGCCGAGUCCAGCGUUCCCUCCGCUCAGGCGUUUGUCCAACGUUGUGAGCGCACCUGGAGGAGGGUGAGGUCUGCACUUUGCCGUUACAGGGCGCAGACUGUGAGAGCCGCCAAUAAACGUAGGAUUAAGAGUCCUAGGUAUUGUCGCGGCCAGAGAGUGUGGCUUUCCACUCGUAACCUUCCCCUUACGACAGCUUCUCGUAAGUUGACUCCGCGGUUCAUUGGUCCGUUCCGUGUCUCCCAGGUCGUCAAUCCUGUCGCUGUGCGACUGCUUCUUCCGCGACAUCUUCGUCGCGUCCAUCCUGUCUUCCAUGUCUCCUGUGUCAAGCCCUUUCUUCGCACCCCCGUUCGUCUUCCCUCCCCCCCCGUCCUUGUCGAGGGCGCACCUAUUUACAAGGUACGUAGGAUCAUGGACAUGCGUUCUCGGGGACGGGGUCACCAAUACUUAGUGGAUUGGGAGGGUUACGGUCCUGAGGAGAGGAGUUGGGUUCCAUCUCGGGACGUGCUGGACCGUUCGCUGAUUGAUGAUUUCCUCCGUUGCCGCCAGGAUUCCUCCUCGAGUGCGCCAGGAGGCGCUCGAUGCUGCGUGUGAGCAGGUGUCUGAGUCCGCUACGGUCGGUGCCUUCCCGAGGCAACCUACAGUUAAUGGUCGAGUCUCCAGUCUGUCCUCGUCACUACGAGUGGAUUUAAGUUUUUUAUGUUUUGUUUUCUGCUCUGAUUGUCCAGGAGUAUUGCUUAUAUCCUUUACUGGAAUAAAGACUCUAUUUUCGCCAAGUCGCUUUUGGGUCCUCAUUCAUCUGCAUAACAUUUCCUGAGAAUUCUUUCCAACUUGUUCUUGAUUUAAUGACUCUUCCAUGAAAUUAGUAUUUUAAGCAUACAUUUUUGUAUACUGUGUUGAUAACAAACAUUGAAAGAAAUUGUAGACCACAAGGAAGUUUGUGGAAGGCUACCCAAAACGUUUGGCCCAAGUUAAACAAUUUAAAGGCAAUGCUACCAAAUACUAUUUGAGUGUAUGUAAACUUCUGACCCACUUGGAAUGUUACGAAAGAAAUAAAAGCUGAAAUGAAUCCUCUUGUCACGCCUUGGUCUUAGAAUUUUGUGUUUUCUUUAUUAUUUUGGUCAGGCCAGGGUGUGACAUGGGGUUAAUUAUGUGGUGUGUUUUGUCUUGGGGUUUUGUAGGUAUCGGGAUUGUGGGGUAGGUAUCGGGAUAGUGGGGUUGUCUAGAAAAGUCUAUGGUUGCCUGAAGUGGUUCUCAAUCAGAGGCAGGUGUUUAUCGUUGUCUCUGAUUGGGAACCAUAUUUAGGCAGCAAUAUUCUUUGAGUGUUUCGUGGGUGAUUGUUCCUGUCUCAGUGUUUGCUUGCACCAGAAUAGGCUGUUUAGGUUUUCAUGUUACGUUUAUUGUUCAAUUAUCUUUUUAUUAAAGAUGUAUCGAAUUAACCA
Molecule: long non-coding RNA, 2615 nt
Organism: Oncorhynchus keta (chum salmon)
Lineage: Eukaryota; Metazoa; Chordata; Actinopteri; Salmoniformes; Salmonidae
Exons: 2
Source: RefSeq, a predicted model, not a curated record